GGUUUUCGGACCUAGAGACCGGCGCACGGGUGCGUAACGCGUAUGCAAUCUACCUUUUACAGAGGGAUAGCCCAGAGAAAUUUGGAUUAAUACCUCAUAGUAUAGCUGUACCGCAUGGUACUACUAUUAAAGUCACAACGGUAAAAGAUGAGCAUGCGUCCCAUUAGCUUGUUGGUAAGGUAACGGCUUACCAAGGCAACGAUGGGUAGGGGUCCUGAGAGGGAGAUCCCCCACACUGGUACUGAGACACGGACCAGACUCCUACGGGAGGCAGCAGUGAGGAAUAUUGGUCAAUGGGCGCAAGCCUGAACCAGCCAUGCCGCGUGCAGGAUGACGGUCCUAUGGAUUGUAAACUGCUUUUGUACAGGAAGAAACAGUUCUACGUGUAGAACCUUGACGGUACUGUAAGAAUAAGGAUCGGCCAACUCCGUGCCAGCAGCCGCGGUAAUACGGAGGAUCCAAGCGUUAUCCGGAAUCAUUGGGUUUAAAGGGUCCGUAGGCGGUUUUGUAAGUCAGUGGUGAAAGCCCAUCGCUCAACGGUGGAACGGCCAUUGAUACUGCAAGACUUGAAUUAUUAGGAAGUAACUAGAAUAUGUAGUGUAGCGGUGAAAUGCUUAGAUAUUACAUGGAAUACCAAUUGCGAAGGCAGGUUACUACUAAUGGAUUGACGCUGAUGGACGAAAGCGUGGGGAGCGAACAGGAUUAGAUACCCUGGUAGUCCACGCCGUANACGAUGGAUACUAGCUGUUCGGAGCAAUCUGAGUGGCUAAGCGAAAGUGAUAAGUAUCCCACCUGGGGAGUACGUUCGCAAGAAUGAAACUCA
RNAcentral lists this ribosomal RNA (823 nucleotides) under uncultured bacterium. RNAcentral's name for it is "bacterial SSU rRNA". It matches the Rfam family "Bacterial small subunit ribosomal RNA", at positions 75 to 903 of the family's 1533-position model. The record is from RNAcentral.